Molecule: long non-coding RNA, 550 nt
Organism: Vidua chalybeata
Lineage: Eukaryota; Metazoa; Chordata; Aves; Passeriformes; Viduidae
Exons: 5
Source: RefSeq, a predicted model, not a curated record
GGAGCAGGAAGCAGGGAGAAGUGACAUGUGACUUUGAGAUCAAAGCUGUUUUCUACACCCCUGUGUACUUCAUGAAUGAUGAAGUAAUUUUCUUGCACAGAUGACACUGUCAUAGAUCUAUAGAAAUACCAUUGGCCUGACACUGACUGAAAAGGGGGAAGAAUCAGAAUAAUUUGUAAGGAUAGUAAAUAGUAUUUAGAGCCUACAGUGCCAGUAUGAGCAGUGUGUGCAGUGUGCACAGGCCCUUCAUAGCUGCAUAAGAUGUGGUAUCUUUAACUGAAAGGAAAAACAAAGGGAAGAAAUGCUCUGGAGUUCUAAUUACCUAUGGAAGCCCCACGAGGUUACUGCAGAACAUGAGUACCAGAAUUUAAUGGAAUUUGGUGGAAAUCUCCAAUGACAAAUGUAGUUUAAAGCUCUGUGAGUGGAUAUACAACUGUGCUGAUGGAAAUUACAGGACAAAGUGGAAGGUUUUUCCUAAUGGGACUGCUGUGGAGUUGCCAAGAUAUGAAAAUCCAUGUGUGUCUAUUUUUCCUUGGAUUGAGAAGAGAUU